Molecule: ribosomal RNA, 336 nt
Filed under: Prymnesium parvum
Lineage: Eukaryota; Haptophyta; Prymnesiales; Prymnesiaceae
Description: partial Bacterial large subunit ribosomal RNA
Rfam family: Bacterial large subunit ribosomal RNA
Source: RNAcentral
CCAUAGUGAAAGCGAGCCUGAAUAGGGCGUACGUCACUGUUUAUAGACCCGAACCCGGAUGAUCUAACCAUGGCCAGGAUGAAGCCUAGGUAAUACUAUGUGGAGGUCCGAACCGACUGAUGUUGAAAAAUCAGCGGAUGAGUUGUGGUUAGGGGUGAAAUACCAAUCGAAUUCGGAGCUAGCUGGUUCUCCCCGAAAUGUGUUUAGGCGCAGCGGUUAAUAUUAUAGCUUAGAGGUAAAGCACUGUUUCGGUGCGGGCUGGUAAUUCGGUACCAAAUCGAGGCAAACUCUGAAUACUAAGUGAACAGUUAACCAGUAAGACUGUGGGGGAUAAGC